Molecule: ribosomal RNA, 326 nt
Filed under: uncultured eukaryote
Lineage: Eukaryota
Description: partial 18S ribosomal RNA
Rfam family: Eukaryotic small subunit ribosomal RNA
Source: RNAcentral
CCCUUAGAUGUCCUGGGCCGCACGCGCGUUACACUGAUGCAUUCAACGAGCUUAUAACCUUGGCCGAGAGGCCUGGGCAAUCUUGUUAACGUGCAUCGUGAUAGGGAUAGAUUAUUGAAAUUAUUAAUCUUGAACGAGGAAUUCCUAGUAAACGCAGAUCAUCAAUCUGCAUUGAUUACGUCCCUGCCCUUUGUACACACCGCCCGUCGCACCUACCGAUUGGAUGGUCCGGUGAAUAAUUCGGACCGAUGCAGUGCUCAGCUUCUGAACUUUGCAUUGGAAAGUUUAGUGAACCUUAUCACUUAGAGGAAGGAGAAGUCGUAACA